GCGGAGGGGCGGAUGGUUGCGGGGUUUUCAUGACCUUGAGGAAAGUCCGGACUCCACAAGACAACGGUGCCGGGUAACACCCGGCCGGGGCAACCCGAGGGAAAGCGCCACAGAAAACGGACCGCCCCGUUGAAGGGCAAGGGUGAAAAGGUGGGGUAAGAGCCCACCGCGGGACGGGCAACCGGACCGGCAUGGCAAGCCCCACCGGGAGCAAUGCCAAAUAGGGGCCGCACAUGGGGUGUCUUGACCUGGCGGCACGGGUUGGCAGCAUGAGCCUUCGGGCAACCGCGGGCCCAGAUGAAUGACCGUCCACGACAGAAUCCGGCUUACAGUUCCUCCGCGCGU
This 345-nucleotide RNase P RNA is filed under the name Roseovarius sp. Its description in RNAcentral is "RNase P RNA component class A". It matches the Rfam family "Bacterial RNase P class A". Rfam says of the family: Ribonuclease P (RNase P) is a ubiquitous endoribonuclease, found in archaea, bacteria and eukarya as well as chloroplasts and mitochondria. Its best characterised activity is the generation of mature 5'-ends of tRNAs by cleaving the 5'-leader elements of precursor-tRNAs. Lineage: Bacteria; Pseudomonadati; Pseudomonadota; Alphaproteobacteria; Rhodobacterales; Roseobacteraceae. The record is from RNAcentral.